GAAGUUGGAUACACCUUUUGUAAAUGUCUGAUCUCAUCAGACCUCAGAAGCUGAGCAUGGUUGGGCCUGGUUAGUACUUGGAUAAGACACCACUGGGAAUACCAGGUGCCACAUGCC
RNAcentral lists this ribosomal RNA (117 nucleotides) under Periophthalmus magnuspinnatus. The record is from RNAcentral. Lineage: Eukaryota; Metazoa; Chordata; Actinopteri; Gobiiformes; Gobiidae.